This 465-nucleotide ribosomal RNA is filed under the name Vreelandella stevensii. RNAcentral's name for it is "partial 16S ribosomal RNA". It matches the Rfam family "Bacterial small subunit ribosomal RNA", at positions 338 to 795 of the family's 1533-position model. Lineage: Bacteria; Pseudomonadati; Pseudomonadota; Gammaproteobacteria; Oceanospirillales; Halomonadaceae. The record is from RNAcentral.
CCUACGGGUGGCAGCAGUGGUGAAUAUUGGACAAUGGGGGCAACCCUGAUCCAGCCAUGCCGCGUGUGUGAAGAAGGCCCUCGGGUUGUAAAGCACUUUCAGUGAGGAAGAACGCCUGGUGGUUAAUACCCAUCAGGAAAGACAUCACUCACAGAAGAAGCACCGGCUAACUCCGUGCCAGCAGCCGCGGUAAUACGGAGGGUGCGAGCGUUAAUCGGAAUUACUGGGCGUAAAGCGCGCGUAGGUGGCUUGAUAAGCCGGUUGUGAAAGCCCCGGGCUCAACCUGGGAACGGCAUCCGGAACUGUCAAGCUAGAGUGCAGGAGAGGAAGGUAGAAUUCCCGGUGUAGCGGUGAAAUGCGUAGAGAUCGGGAGGAAUACCAGUGGCGAAGGCGGCCUUCUGGACUGACACUGACACUGAGGUGCGAAAGCGUGGGUAGCAAACAGGAUUAGAUACCCCAGUAGUC